Molecule: ribosomal RNA, 331 nt
Filed under: uncultured eukaryote
Lineage: Eukaryota
Description: partial 18S ribosomal RNA
Rfam family: Eukaryotic small subunit ribosomal RNA
Source: RNAcentral
CCCUUAGAUGUCCGGGGCCGCACGCGCGCUACACUGAAGGAAUCAGCGUGGCUUUCUCCCUGACCCGAAAGGGUUGGGAAACCCGUUGAAUCUCCUUCGUGAUAGGGAUUGGGGCUUGAAAUUGUUCCCCAUGAACGAGGAAUUCCCAGUAAGCGCGAGUCAUAAGCUCGCGUUGAUUACGUCCCUGCCCUUUGUACACACCGCCCGUCGCUACUACCGAUUGAACGGUUUAGUGAGGCCUUCUGACUGGCGCCGCUACUCUGGCAACAGAGCGGCGGAUGCCGGGAAGUUGGUCAAACUUGAUCAUUUAGAGGAAGUAAAAGUCGUAACA